RNAcentral lists this ribosomal RNA (483 nucleotides) under uncultured Acidimicrobium sp. RNAcentral describes it as "bacterial SSU rRNA". It matches the Rfam family "Bacterial small subunit ribosomal RNA", at positions 120 to 597 of the family's 1533-position model. Lineage: Bacteria; Bacillati; Actinomycetota; Acidimicrobiia; Acidimicrobiales; Acidimicrobiaceae. The record is from RNAcentral.
GGUAACCUACCCUCGAGUGGGGAAUAACUAGCCGAAAGGUUAGCUAAUACCGCGUACGCUUCCCUGACUACGGUUCGGGGAGGAAAGCGAUACCGUGGGUAUCGCGCUCUUGGAUGGGCUUAUGUCCUAUCAGCUUGUUGGUGAGGUAAUGGCUCACCAAGGCUUCGACGGGUUGCUGGUCUGAGAGGACGAUCAGCCACACUGGCACUGCGACACGGGCCAGACUCCUACGGGAGGCAGCAGUAAGGAAUAUUGCGCAAUGGGCGACAGCCUGACGCAGCGACGCCGCGUGGGGGACGAAGGUCUUCGGAUUGUAAACCCCUUUCGGGAGGGAAGAUGGAGCGGGCAACCGUUCGGACGGUACCUCCAGAAGCAGCCACGGCUAACUUCGUGCCAGCAGCCGCGGUAAUACGAAGGUGGCAAGCGUUGUUCGGAUUUACUGGGCGUACAGGGAGCGUAGGCGGUUCGGUAAGCCCUCUGUGA